Molecule: ribosomal RNA, 143 nt
Filed under: Chaetoceros sp. RCC4821
Lineage: Eukaryota; Bacillariophyta; Thalassiosirophyceae; Chaetocerotales; Chaetocerotaceae
Description: partial 18S ribosomal RNA
Rfam family: Eukaryotic small subunit ribosomal RNA
Source: RNAcentral
AUUGAGUGGUCCGGUGAAGUCUCGAGAUUGUGGCAAUCUCCUUUAUUGGAGUUUGACUGCGAGAACUUGCCUAAACCUUAUCACUUAGAGGAAGGUGAAGUCGUAACAAGGUUUCCGUAGGUGAACCUGCGGAAGGAUCAUUA